AUGAUUGACAUCUCCCCCCGCGCGCGGCCUGGCCCCGCCCCCUCAAUAAACACCAGUUUGUACCAGUUCGGUCCAGUUUGGGCCGGUUCGGGUCAGUUUGGGGCGGUUUGGGGCCGUUUGGGGUGUGGGAGGGGGUGGGCGGCGAAUGUGGGGUUUUUUGGGGGGAAAUUCGGGGGUUUUGGGGCACUUUUGGGGCCGAUUUUGGGUUCUUGGAGGGGCGAGUUCGGGGGGGGUUGGGGGCAAAUUUGGGGGGGCGGGGAAUUUUGGGUUGGGGGGCAAAUUUGGGGUCUUGGGAGGCAAAUUUGGCGUUUCAGGGGGAAUUUUGGGGUCUUUGGAGGCAAAUUUGGCAUUUCAGGGGGAAUUUUGGGGGGUCUGGGGCGAAUUUGUGUCUGGGAGGGCGAAUUUUGGGAUUUCGGGGUCGUUUGGGGGGAGUUGGGGUCAAAUCUGGGGUGUCCGGGGUCAUUUUGGGGUGGGGGAGGGGUCGGGGGCAGUUCCGGGGGGGGGGGGGGGGGGGUGGGGAUGGGCUGGAAUUCCCCCCCCCGCCCCUCCCCCACAUCCGGAGCAGCUGCGCUGCCCCUCCCCCACCCCCCGCCCCUCCCCCACUCCGGCCAUGGCCGCCUUCAGCCUCGGCCCCCUCCUCCUCCUCCUCCUCCUGCUGGGCCUCGGUACCCCCGAACCCCCCCCGGGACCCCCCAAAAUCCCCCAAAUUCACCCCAAAACCCCUCCGGGACCCCCAAUCUGCGGGACCCCCAAAAUCCCUCCCAGCCCCCCCCCCGGGACCCCCCGAAAUCCCCCAAAUUCACCCCAAAAACCCCUCCGGGACCCCCAACCUGCGGGACCCCCAAAAUCCCUCCCAAAACCCCCCCCGGGACCCUUCAAAAUCCCCCAAAUUCACCCCAAAAAACCCCACCGGGACCCCCAAGGACCCUCGGGACCCCUCCCCUUUUUGGGACCCUCCCAAAUCCCCCCCCAACCCCUUUGAGCCCCCCCCCAAUGCCCCCAAAAUCCCCCAAAUCCCCCCCAAACCCCCCCUAA
RNAcentral lists this long non-coding RNA (1035 nucleotides) under Corvus moneduloides (New Caledonian crow). RNAcentral's name for it is "lncRNA (ENSCMUG00000018972.1)". Lineage: Eukaryota; Metazoa; Chordata; Aves; Passeriformes; Corvidae. The record is from RNAcentral.